CAGCAGCCGCGGUAAAACGAAGGGGGCUAGCGUUGCUCGGAAUGACUGGGCGUAAAGGGCGCGUAGGCGGCGAUCAAAGUCAGGCGUGAAAUUCCUGGGCUCAACCUGGGGGCUGCGCUUGAUACUUGGUUGCUUGAGUGGGGAAGAGGGUCGUGGAAUUCCCAGUGUAGAGGUGAAAUUCGUAGAUGUUGGGAAGAACACCGGUGGCGAAGGCGGCGACCUGGUCCUUGACUGACGCUGAGGCGCGAAAGCGUGGGGAGCAAACAGGAUUAGAUACCCGUGAAGUCCCUGUCUCUUAUAA
This 301-nucleotide ribosomal RNA is filed under the name uncultured bacterium. RNAcentral's name for it is "partial 16S ribosomal RNA". It matches the Rfam family "Bacterial small subunit ribosomal RNA", at positions 509 to 809 of the family's 1533-position model. The record is from RNAcentral.